Molecule: ribosomal RNA, 607 nt
Filed under: Zygaena erythrus actae
Lineage: Eukaryota; Metazoa; Arthropoda; Insecta; Lepidoptera; Zygaenidae
Description: partial 12S ribosomal RNA
Source: RNAcentral
UGCGGUUAUACAAAAAUUAAAUUAAAUUUUUUUAGGAUUUAAUUAAUAAAAUUAAAAUUAAUAAUUUAAAUUUUAAAUUAUAAAGUGAAAUUUUAAAUUUAAUUAAAAUUUAUUUAUUUUUAUGAUAUUAAUAAAUUUUAUAAAAAACUAGGAUUAGAUACCCUAUUAUAAAAAUUUAAAUUUAAAUAAUCUUAAAAUAGUAUAUAAUUUUUUAUAGAAACUUAAAUAAUUUGGCGGUAUUUUAGUUCAUUUAGAGGAAUCUGUCUAAUAAUUGAUAAUCCACGAUUAAAUUUACUUAAUUUUUAAUUUUGUAUAUCGUUGUUAAAAAAAUAUUUUUAAAUAAUUUUAAUAUUUAAAAAUUUAUAUAAAAAAUUAAAUCAGAUCAAGAUGCAGAUUAUAAUUAAGAAUAUGAUGGAUUACAAUAAACUUUAUUUUAUUUGGAUAUUAAUUUGAAAUAAAUUGAUUGAAAUUGGAUUUAAAUGUAAUUUUAUUUAUUUUAAUAAAAUGAUUAAAAAUUAAAAUAUGUACAUAUUGCCCGUCGCUUUCAUUAAUAAAUUGAAAUAAGUCGUAACAAAGUAGAGGUACUGGAAAGUGUUUCUAGAAAGAU